This 363-nucleotide ribosomal RNA is filed under the name uncultured eukaryote. RNAcentral describes it as "partial 18S ribosomal RNA". It matches the Rfam family "Eukaryotic small subunit ribosomal RNA", at positions 592 to 976 of the family's 1831-position model. The record is from RNAcentral.
CAAUAGCGUAUACUAAUGUUGUUGCAGUUAAAAAGCUCGUAGUUGAACUUCUGGUAGGAGUGUCCCGGCCUUUUUGUUUUUACAAAUUGUAUGCUGUGUGACAUCUCUGGCCAUCCUUCUUCUUUGUUUAAAGAAGAUCUUUCACUGUAAAAAAAUUAGGGUAUUCAAAGCAAAAGUUUCUUUGGAAUAUAUUAGUAUGGGAUGAUAAGAUAGGCUCUAGAUGCUAUUUUGUUGGUUUGCACAUUUAGAGAAUGAUUAACAGGGACAGUUGGGGGUAUUCGUAUUUACAUGUCAGAGGUGAAAUUCUUGGAUUUUGGAAAGACGAACUACUGCGAAAGCAUUUACCAAGGAUGUUUUCAUUAA